UUAAACGCCUACUACAAAGCAUCUUACGGAUGAAGAAACUGAGGCACAGAAAUGUUGGACAGGUAUCCAAAAUAGGACUGGAACACAGAUGUCCUAAUGUCAAUUUAUCUCACUAGGAGAUCCUGAGGAUACAAAGCAACUAUAUGAACUAAAUUCCAAAGACUGACAAACUUCUUCAAGGAAAAAAAGGAACACUUAAAUUUUGCCUUUGUCACAGCACAGAAGGAAGAGGUAACUACCAUUUAAGGGAGAAGCUGGAAACUGUCUCCUGCCCAAGACUCAGCACAGGUGUCUGACUUCUUUGAGAGGGGCAUCCAUCAAGAGGAAUACUUAAAAGGCUCCACCCCUCAGGCCCAGGCACACAGGCCCUGCUGAAGACUGCAGAUGGACCAGGAAAACCAAGAUCUCCCUGGUCCUACAAUGAACCUAGCACUAAAUUAGUACAAAUGGCUGUCUACUAGCAAGGGAGGGACAAGAGCACAGAGGGAACCCUCCCCUCUGUGGCACACAUAUUCAGGAACAGUUGACCACUGAAGGUGAACCACAAACAUGAGCCUAAUAUCAAACACAAGGAAAUAGCCAUUCCCUGCCAGAGGCAUUUGAAUCUGUUGUGCACUGAAGACAGAGAUAGCAGCAACAUGGCAAAACCAGCUCAAUGACUGACUUAAUUGACUAAUUCUACCACACUAACAUGCUGACAACAAGAAGAGGUGCGCUCAUCACUGGACUUACAUACUCUUCACCUCACUCUCUGCUGUUCUACACAUAUCUGCCAUUAAAUCAAAAAUUAAAUGAUAUAGUUUGGCUCUGUGUCCCCACCCAAAUCUCAUCUUGUAGUUUCCAUAAUUCCCAUGUGUUGUGGGAGGGACCCAGUAGGAGAUAAUUGAAUCAUGGGGGUGGGUCUUUCCCAGGCUGUUCUUGUGGUAGUGAAUAAGUCUCACAAGAUCUGAUGGUUUUAAAAAAGACAGUUUCCCUGCACAAGCUCUCUUCUCUUGUCUGCUGCCAUGUGAGAUGUACCUUUCACCUUCUGCCGUGAUUGUGAGGCCUCCCCAGCCACCUGAAACUGUAAGUCCAUUAAACCCCUUUCUUUGGUAAAUUGCCUAGUCUCGGGUAUGUGUUUAGCAGCAACAUGAAAAUGGACCAAUACAUUAAACAACAAAGAAAGCAAGAAAAAAGACCUACUGUCAAGUGAUAAAGCAAUAAUUAAAAUCUAAAUUCAGAGAUGACCCAGGUAUUGGAAUUAUUAGACUGGUACUUUAAAAUAACUAUGAAUAAUAUUUUAUUUUUUUGAGAUGGAGUCUGGCUCUGUCACCCCGGCUGGAGUGCAGUGGAAUGAUCUUGGC
This 1343-nucleotide long non-coding RNA is filed under the name Homo sapiens (human). Its description in RNAcentral is "HSALNT0043501". Lineage: Eukaryota; Metazoa; Chordata; Mammalia; Primates; Hominidae. The record is from RNAcentral.